GUCACAUGGGGGCUCCCCAGGCCGGGAAUCCGGAACUCAGCUCCGCAGGCUGCUGGGGCACUGGGAGGCGGCCGCACCGGGCCAAGCCGGGAGCUCAGCCGGGUUGGUGCCUGCGCGGUAGGCGCCGGGGAUUCUCGGGCAGGGCUUUGCCCCCGGGCCCCCGGCGGGCGGGAGGCAGCUGGAGCGUGGCAAGAUGCUGUCAAUGGGAGCAUGUGAGCUGGGACCCCCGCAUUGUAAAAGGGGGCCACUGGUCGGGCGGUGUCUGCUGGAACGCCAGCUGCGGACCCUGACCCUGCCACAUCCACACGAGUCUGAAACAACCUGGCUCUGCUGAUCUUUGAGGGUGAUUUCUUCAUUUAAGCCUGCGCAUCCGGGACCUGUCACUGAAUUGCUCCUGGGCAGAGCUAUGGAACAAAGAUCUUUUCUAGAAGUCGGGCACGUAAAAAGGACGGUCUCAUUGUAGGGAGUCCUGCAUUCUGACCUGUCUCGCGCAUUCCCCUGCAUAGGUCCGACCGCAGGAGCGGGGUCUGAGUGGCUCCAAUCUCUGAAAUUGAGCCCCCUCCCCAACAAGCUGUUCGAAGUUUGACGCUGUCUCCAAACCACUUGGAAACAUUUUUUUCUGAUUUGCCUGAAAGCUUCAGCAGGGUUAGGGAGUAUGUGUAUGUCCAUGUUGGCUUGUGAGCAGCUUUCCCCGCCUUUCCCAACCUGGUAGCAAACAACCCGUUCUGAGCCCAGAUUCCCCAUUCCCCGGGGUUUGGCAGCCCGGGCCUGACUGCUCCCUGGGCUCCUCCCUGAGGGUUGCUCAGCCCACACCCUUGGCCCUCUCUCUUUAAAGAGCUCCUCCUGAGCCUGUUCCCAGCUGUAUGAGUGCCUACUAAUGGUGGGGGAAGAGGAGGCCUGGUCCUGAAUUCCCUAUCAAGAGGUUAUAUUGCCCUUAGCCUGGGAGCAAAAGGUGUUUCAGCAUUGGGGACAAGUCCAGUUUCUGCGCUAGGGGCGCGUGGGUCUCUCUGGGUGUUUGGUUCUUUUGGGCCAGUUUCCUCACUGCCCCCACUUCCUUGGGGCUACCCCACAGAUCAGGUUGGCAAGGCGUGCUGUUAUGUGCGACAGUGUAUGGUGUCUGUGCAUGUACGAUUCUGUGCAGGCUAUGGUGUGUGUCUCACGCGUGUUGAGUGUGCAGGAGUGUCAGGGUGACUGGCUGUGGUGCUGUGCAUGAGGAUGUGUGACUGUGUGAUUGUCUCUGCCUUUAUGGGAAUAUGUCAAUGGAACUGCAGUGUCCUGUGUGUGUGAGACUAGCGUGUGUGGUUGUGUGGUGCUGGUUUGUGUGUGGUGUGGGAUAGGGUCGUGGUGCAGGUUUUCAGGGGGGCUGAAGAGGCGUGUGGUUUAGGGCUCUGUUUGUGUGGUAUAGAAUUAUGUGCAUAUCAGGGUGUAAUGUAGGGUAUAUGUGGUUGUGUGGUGCAGGGAUGUGUGUGGCGUCGGGUUGUAUAUGUAUGUUGUGCAGGUUUGUGUGUGUCAUGUCUGGGGUGUGUAGUAUGGUUGUGUGUGUAGUGCAGGUUUGGGGGAGUGCGGUUGUGUGUGUGUGGUGCGAUAUAGGGCUGUGGUGCAGGUUUGGGCUGUGUGGCUUAGGGGUGUGUUUAUGUGCUGUAGGCUUAUGAGUGGGUGUAGAGUUGUGUAUUGUUGUGGUGCAGGUUUGUGAGAGGUGUGGGGGGAGGCAGGGGGCA
Long non-coding RNA from Caretta caretta (loggerhead turtle), 1718 nucleotides. RefSeq lists it as uncharacterized. The record is from RefSeq and is a predicted model, not a curated record. NCBI's taxonomy places the organism in Eukaryota, Metazoa, Chordata, Testudines, Cheloniidae.